CGUGCAGGAUGAAGGCCUUCGGGUUGUAAACUGCUUUUGUACGGAACGAAAAGGUGCCUUCUAAUAAAGGGCGCUCAUGACGGUACCGUAAGAAUAAGCACCGGCUAACUACGUGCCAGCAGCCGCGGUAAUACGUAGGGUGCGAGCGUUAAUCGGAAUUACUGGGCGUAAAGCGUGCGCAGGCGGUUUUGUAAGACAGAGGUGAAAUCCCCGGGCUCAACCUGGGAACUGCCUUUGUGACUGCAAGGCUGGAGUGCGGCAGAGGGGGAUGGAAUUCCGCGUGUAGCAGUGAAAUGCGUAGAUAUGCGGAGGAACACCGAUGGCGAAGGCAAUCCCCUGGGCCUGCACUGACGCUCAUGCACGAAAGCGUGGGGAGCAAACAGGAUUAGAUACCCUGGUAGUCCACGCCCUAAACGAUGUCAACUGGUUGUUGGGGAUUAAUUUUCUCAGUAACGAAGCUAACGCGUGAAGUUGACCGCCUGGGGAGUACGGCCGCAAGGUUAAAACUCAAAGGAAUUGACGG
This 523-nucleotide ribosomal RNA is filed under the name uncultured Alicycliphilus sp. RNAcentral describes it as "bacterial SSU rRNA". It matches the Rfam family "Bacterial small subunit ribosomal RNA", at positions 400 to 916 of the family's 1533-position model. The record is from RNAcentral. Lineage: Bacteria; Pseudomonadati; Pseudomonadota; Betaproteobacteria; Burkholderiales; Comamonadaceae.